CCCAGUUCGGAUUGUAGUCUGCAACUCGACUACAUGAAGCCGGAAUCGCUAGUAACCGCGGAUCAGAAUGCCGCGGUGAAUACGUUCCCGGGUCUUGUACACACCGCCCGUCACACCAUGGGAGCCGGAAAUGCCCGAAGUCAGUGACCCAACCAAUAAGGAGGGAGCUGCCGAAGGCAGGUCUGGUGACUGGGGUGAAGUCGUAACAAGGUAAC
This 215-nucleotide ribosomal RNA is filed under the name uncultured bacterium. RNAcentral describes it as "partial 16S ribosomal RNA". It matches the Rfam family "Bacterial small subunit ribosomal RNA", at positions 1287 to 1500 of the family's 1533-position model. The record is from RNAcentral.